RNAcentral lists this ribosomal RNA (504 nucleotides) under uncultured bacterium. Its description in RNAcentral is "bacterial SSU rRNA". It matches the Rfam family "Bacterial small subunit ribosomal RNA", at positions 28 to 524 of the family's 1533-position model. The record is from RNAcentral.
GACGAACGCUGGCGGCGUGGAUUAGGCAUGCAAGUCGAACGGUAUCAUCCUUUCGGGGGUGAGAGAGUGGCGAACUGGUGAGUAACACGUAGGUUAUCUACCCUCAAGACGGGGACAACCCAGGGAAACUUGGGCUAAUACCGGAUGUGAGCAACUUUUAGUUGUUUGAAAGGUGGCGUAAGCUGUCGCUUGGGGAUGAGCCUGCGUCCUAUUAGUUAGUUGGUGAGGUAACGGCUCACCUAGGCAAUGAUAGGUAGGCGGCCUUAACGGGUGGUCGCCCACACUGGGAUUGAGAUACGGCCCAGACUCCUACGGGAGGCAGCAGUCGAGAAUAGUCUACAAUGGUCGGAAGACUGAUAGUGCGACGCCGCGUGAACGAUGAAUCCCUUCGGGGUGUAAAGUUCUUUUAUAUGUGAGCAGUGCUUCUUAUAUUAACAGUAUGGGGAGAGAGAUAUUAGCAUAUGAAUAAGCACCGGCUAACUACGUGCCAGCAGCCGCGGUAAA